This 216-nucleotide ribosomal RNA is filed under the name Vibrio cholerae O1. Its description in RNAcentral is "partial 23S ribosomal RNA". It matches the Rfam family "Bacterial large subunit ribosomal RNA", at positions 1728 to 1953 of the family's 2925-position model. The record is from RNAcentral. Lineage: Bacteria; Pseudomonadati; Pseudomonadota; Gammaproteobacteria; Vibrionales; Vibrionaceae.
CCGUAACUUCGGGAGAAGGGGUGCUGUAGAAAUACAGCCGCAGUGAAAAGAUCCAAGCAACCGUUUAUCAAAAACACAGCUCUCUGCUAAACCGCAAGGUGAUGUAUAGGGGGUGACGCCUGCCCGGUGCUGGAAGGUUAAGAGGAGUGCUUAGACGUAAGUCGAAGGUAUGAAUUGAAGCCCCAGUAAACGGCGGCCGUAACUAUAACGGUCCUA